GAUGAAGAACGUAGCGAAAUGCGAUAAGUAAUGCGAAUUGCAGAAUCCGUGAGUCAUCGAAUCUUUGAACGCAUAUUGUGCCCUUUGGUAUACCGAAGGGCAUGCCUGUUCGAGCGUCAUUAUCACCCCUCAAGCCCGGCUUGUUGUUGGACCAAGUCCCCGUCACACGGGACCGGUCCCAAAGAUAAUGACGGCGUCUGUUGGACCCUCGUACACUGAGCUUUCGGGCACGUACGUGGUUAAAGGACUCCAGACGACCGUUUAACCUUUGAGCGGCGAGUGCUCCGGCACUGGUCUCUCUUACUUUUUCAGGUUGACCUCGGAUCAGGUAGGAAUACCCGCUGAACUUAAGCAUAUCAAUAAGCGGAGGA
This 371-nucleotide unclassified non-coding RNA is filed under the name soil metagenome. RNAcentral describes it as "partial contains 5.8S ribosomal RNA, internal transcribed spacer 2, and large subunit ribosomal RNA". The stretch from base 1 to 119 matches the Rfam family "5.8S ribosomal RNA", at positions 35 to 154 of the family's 154-position model. The record is from RNAcentral.